RNAcentral lists this transfer RNA (76 nucleotides) under Bauldia sp. RNAcentral's name for it is "tRNA-Tyr". It matches the Rfam family "tRNA". From Rfam's summary of the family: Transfer RNA (tRNA) molecules are approximately 80 nucleotides in length. Their secondary structure includes four short double-helical elements and three loops (D, anti-codon, and T loops). The record is from RNAcentral. Lineage: Bacteria; Pseudomonadati; Pseudomonadota; Alphaproteobacteria; Hyphomicrobiales; Kaistiaceae.
UCCCCGGUAGCGCAGUUGGUAGAGCAUGCGGCUGUAAACCGCUGGGUCGCUGGUUCGAGUCCGGCCCGGUGAGCCA